Molecule: long non-coding RNA, 3889 nt
Organism: Pezoporus flaviventris
Lineage: Eukaryota; Metazoa; Chordata; Aves; Psittaciformes; Psittacidae
Exons: 6
Source: RefSeq, a predicted model, not a curated record
GAUGGGGGUGCGGUGACCGCUCCGCUGUUUCCAGCCACCCUGGAACGGACCCUGGUACCAGGGUCUGCUGCAGCAUCCCGAGGCUUUCAGCUUUCUUGAAGACAGACUGGAGAAUGAGGCUGUCAGAUCUCUGCAGGAUGUCAUCCAGGGGACUUCUUCCCAUGUUCUCACUUCCCUCUGGAAAGGGCGGCCUCUCCUUGAGGCACACACCACACAAGGCUACAAGCUUUUAAAGAGUCUUGCAGCACAUCAAUGGUCAAGGUCAGAAUCCCAUUAUGAAGCUAAAAAAUGAAGUCGACAUUUAGUCUGAAAAGAAAGUUUUGUUAUAGUGGUGCUAAUAAACUAACAGUUUUGUGAAGUUUUGAAGAUUCUGGAAGAAGUUUCCUCACAAAGAAAUCUCAUUGAAGAAUGUUCACUGGAUGCUACAGCAAUUGACCAGCCUUGCAGUUUCUGCUCUGCAGUGGUAGUUAGACAAACAUCCAGGAGUAGGAAUCUGCAUGGACAGCCCAUCUAUAUGCUGUGCACCAGCCUCCAGUCAGGGGGAUCAGCACAGCUGCAUGAAAGCAUCAGCCUUAUUCCUGUGCUGCCUGUCUCAAGGAAUGGGGGAUGUGAGCAGCAUAGAAGUGUGUUUACACAAAUGCUUGCUGUGAGUGGAAAACAGCUCUUAACACUUCUGUCUUGUUCUAAUGGAUAGCACACUAUGACCAUCUUAAUGUUCACUGUUUUCAGGACCUAAUUACUUCUGCAUAAUACAUUCAUUUGAGGAUUUAAUUUGCUUUUAGAUUCCAGUGAUGGGAGCAGCAUUUCUGAAGUCAGUUUCCAGAGACACUUAGGUUUCAACCUUCCCAAAUGUUGGCAUAAUAAUGGUUUUCUGCCCAUAAAGAUGGAAGGGGCUUUUACAGGUCUCUGCAGCUAAUCUGUGGAGCUACUGUGAAAUGUCCAUACAUGAGGAUAUUCUCUAAGGUGAUUAUUCUCCAGAGUCUUUGCAGAUGCUUCUAACUAAGCAAAGUGACUGGGCCUGCACUUUUUCAUCUCAAUUCAGUGGCAAUCCUCCUGGUUCUCGGGAGCAAUUUUAGGCUUGACUUCUUCCAACUCUUAUUUUUCAUUCCAGCAAUGUUGACACAAGCCCUGCAGCCUGUCUAGCAGCAGGGACAGAGCAAAAAUAACAAGCACUUUCUGCUUUUAAAUUCAGAGAUUCACACAUCCAACCAAGGAAAAACAAUCAAUGACUAUUUAGGUGUUUCUGCCUGAACAAGAUGUCUUUAAAUUAAGUCUUGCUACUUGUCAUACGAGACUUGAAAAUAAGAACACUCUGACUUCCUAAUUCAGCCACUAAACAGCAAAGAAGGAAGUUUCAUUGGGUUGUUUGGCCAGGUGACAGGCCUUGUAUUUCCACCAGGGUUCUUUGUCGGGGAAGUGUUUUUCCUUAGGGUAUCUGUCACAGUGAACAAACUACCUUUAGGGAGCAUAGGGACUGAGGAGAAAAUGAAAAUACUCAAUUUAUGACCUUGUAAUUAAGCAGCAGUUAAUUCUCAGAUUACUAUCUUGGUUCAAGGAACUCAUUAGUUUUAGAACUAAUUGCUGGUGCAAGGGACAGAACAGAGUCACACAGCUGGAGGCAUAGGGAGGGUAGAAUUGGGGCAGCCUGGUUUUAGACCAGCAUCAACUGGGUCACUAUUAAGCUUAGUCAUAUCUAAUUGCAAGUAAUUGUAGAAAAAUAUAGUCUCAUUCCUCUUUUUUCCUACCCAUGCCAUAUUCUUGCUUGCAUAAAUUGUAGGGAUUGCCCCAGUGGAUCUAACUCAGAAUACUGAUCAGAUAGAUCAAGAACUGUCAGAACUUCUUGGCACAGGGUUAGACAUUCCUAGGACAAAGACUGAAAUAUUUACUCUGCCUUCAUCCUGAUGUGGUAAGACCUGCUUCUCGGUGCCAGUAAUUCUAGGAUUGCAACACAUCGUGCUGUUGAUCUUUGCUUAUGUUGACAAGGGUCAGCUGUAACCUGCUUAUUUAGAAAAGAAAGAUCCCAAACAUUUAUUUAAUUACCACUUGCCAGAGAGAAUUCCAGGGCCUCUGGGGCCACCCUGUGACAUUGCUCUUCUCAGGAUGCUUCCAGGUAGAAUUGGAACACAACUCAAUUUGGUUUAACUAUGACAAGGUAGUGGAGUGUGGAGUAAAUAUUAUUGUUUCAUUAGCAGUUCUGCAUUUAAUUUAGAUAGGAGUUUCUGCACAAAUGAGAAACUGUUGCACUUGUUAAUGAUAGCACCACCCCAUGGAAUAACUGUACCCCACAGCAGACACUGACUAUGUGGAUGAGCCCUGCAGAGUGCUCAGCCCCUGAGGCGGGGAGGAAGGCUGAAUGAAACAGAUGCAUUGGGAGCACAUCUCACGGAGCCUUCAGGUUUUCGUUGGCAGCAGGAAGUAUCUUUUCUGAUUCUCUCUUUGGCAGAGGUCACAGCACGUGUGGGCAGUUUGUAGCCAGACUUCUGCCUGCUCUCUCUUGUUCCUCAUCCACAGACAAAGUGGUGACCAAGCAAGGCCAGUGACUGUUGAGCCAGAACUCUGUACUGGCAGGAGACAGUUACCUUUCAAACUGGAGUGCCUUUGUUUUUAUGUACUAAGUUCAGUGUGGGAGCUGCCUCUUCUGAGCUGAUAAACUCCCUCUUGAAGCUGUUGUUAUCAGGCAUCUGAAAACAUCACACCAAUUGCCAAGUGCUGUUUUAUUUAACAAUCUUUGUUUUAUCAGAAGAAAGUCUAAAUUCUCUUCAUGCACUGCUUUUUCUACUUUGAUAACAACAUCCCAUUUGCAAUUGUAGGGUGGUUCAAACACAGAAUUUCAGAGAGCAGAAAGACUGUCACAAAUCUGACAGAAUCAUGGACACAGAAACGAAAACAUCAGCUUUGCAGUAACUUUGUUAUGUGAAAUUCACCCCUAGGGAAUAAACCAGUACUUUCCACUUUCUUCUCUGCAACUCCCUACUGAAAGAGCAAAAUUUAUACAAGAACAGGACCAAAACCACCCCCAAAUGUAGGGAGGCACAGUGGUUCAUAUCUACAAGACUGGGGACUCUCAUGAUACUGAAGGGCCUGCCUGACAAACCAAGGGUGGCAUCAUAGGAUCUGACCAGGGCAGUGUAAGUGAUGUUUUGAGGAAGGCACACAAAGAUAAAUGUAAACAGUCCACAUGAUGGGUUUUCUCCCCACAGGAAUCAAGAUCAAUUGACAGAAGCACACAAAACCCUCCCCAGUUUCAGCCCCAUGCAAGCUAUUUGUGCUGGUGUUUUAGCCCAGCUUUCAUCUCCCUGCAUUCUAUUUAGAGCCACAGCCUGUCCCAGGACUGCCCUGUGCAAAUGAGCAUUAAGAGCUGUGCUGAAUGCCACCAGCCCAGAAAAAUAACCACUGUGCUUAUUUUGCAUUCAUUCUGUGCUGGCGCAAGCCUCUGUGUUGGACAGAGACCAAUGAGGCCCAAAUGGUUUUCUCCUGUGCUAGGAGUGAACUGAUUUUAAGUUGGCACAUUGAUCACCUACAUUGUACAAGAUCAAAUAUGUAGACAUAUAUUGCAUAAAGUCCUAUGAGAAAGUAUAUACAGGCAGAAUAUAAUUAAUAAGCCAAAACUUCAAUAGCCAGUACCUGCAGCGAGAGAUGAUUGUACUCUAGUUACUUCCUUGGCUACCCAGCUCAUCACUUCUGUAUGUUGACUACAACCACAGAUUUCCUGUGAACUUUUGAAUCUAAUAGUUGAAUAGUUUGAAUCUAAUAAUUUAAUCUAACCCUAAUCAUGUCAUAGUUACUAAACUUACAUGUUUAAAGCCAAAUUUAAUGUCAGCUGGAGAUCUAACGCUAACAAUUUGUUACUUACUUGGAUAUUUUUAAUUAAUAAAUAAGAAAAAUAGCA